This 234-nucleotide ribosomal RNA is filed under the name Triticum aestivum (bread wheat). RNAcentral's name for it is "partial small subunit ribosomal RNA". The record is from RNAcentral. Lineage: Eukaryota; Viridiplantae; Streptophyta; Magnoliopsida; Poales; Poaceae.
AUGGUGUUGAGGAACGCGGCCUCCAUGUCUGCGGAGGCGCUUCUCCUGAGCAAGCACAUGGCAUACUCCAUCACCGAUGCGUCGCAGGGAAGCGUGAUUCUGUCACUGUCAACUCCUGCGAAGCCGAACUCCUCCUGGGACAUCCUCAAGAGCUCGCCGAAGACGGUCAUUCCAAGGAACACAAUGGGCACCAUCGGCAGCGUACACGACGCAUUAGCCAUUGCCAGCCACUGA